This is an RNA transcript of Selaginella moellendorffii, 1414 nucleotides long. RefSeq lists it as uncharacterized. The transcript is spliced from 3 exons. Lineage: Eukaryota; Viridiplantae; Streptophyta; Lycopodiopsida; Selaginellales; Selaginellaceae. The record is from RefSeq and is a predicted model, not a curated record.
CUUAGUGUGGAGGAGGGAUGGUGGAGGGCUCGUGGUGGAGCGCGGCGGUGGGGCUGGGGCUAGGGUUACUGGGAAUCACAGGCUCCGCCACGAUGAUCCGGCGGCGGCGGCGCGGGAAGGGCGGCAAGAGUGGCGGCGGUGGCAUUGCGGAGAGAUGGCGGCGCCGGCGAUCAUCGCUCGAUGAGAGCGAGCAGCAGCAGCAGCAGGAUUUGGAUUCCCAGGAUCGAUUCGCUUGCAAGCGCGUGUGCGCGUCGGAUCGGAUGAUGAAGCGAGUGGGCAGCUUUGCAAAGGAUGUGACGCCCAAUUCGUGCGUCACUGUGUGUGGGGUCUCGGAUUUGGAUGCUUGCGCCGAGGCGUGCGCUCGAUCCGUUUGUUCUACCCAGCAUCACGUCCCCAAUUGGAACGACGUUUGUAUGCGGCGAUGCCAGAGCGAGUGCCUAAGAUCAUGAGGGAGCUAUCAAUGCAGAGAAAUGAGAGCUCUUGUGUGAGCUUACUGUGAUCCCAGCAGUGCUUGCGCCUUGUCGUUCCAUUUGUGACAAGAUCAAGACACUUCCAGCUUCGCAAUGUCCACAUUCAGCUCUUGCUCGUGACUUCCGAUCUGCGACAGGAGAUCCUGGUACGAGCUUAUGCACUCCAUGAUCUUGCCACUCCGCUUGUACCUAUAGGCAGAAAUAAACUACAAGUACCUCACACCCAGAGUGCGGCUCCGCAAACUUGAAUCUUGCUUUUCUGGCCUAUCUCUGCCAUGAAAGGAAUUGUUUGACAGCCGACAACAGCCUCACUUACGCUGAAUUAAUUCGCGCCAACGAAACGCUGUGAACUGAUGUUUCCCAAGACACAAGUGGAACUGGAACUUACAGGACAAGAGCUUAUCAUCUGGCAUCUUCUUCCUUGAUCUUCUCUGGACUGUAGAACUACGCGUUGUAAACUGGCGGCUCGUGACCAAACACUGGAUCGAUAAUAUCCUAUGAAUUCCAGAUGACGAGAAGAAGCAAAACGCGGUUAGUGAGGCCAAGGAAGCUCGGCUGCAGCGUGAUCUUGCUGUGGGAUGACAUUGGCGAGCCACCGGGAUGCUCUGGAAUCUGGCCGAGAAGGCUAGAAAAGCUUCUAACACUGCUGCUGUCCACAACGAGUCUUCCUACAGCCACAGGGACGCGUGACGUGACCCGUUCAUAACGUCGAUUGCGCGAGCGAUCAGGUAAAGCAGAAAAAGGAGGAAAGAGAUCUCUUUGAGGAAAACAGCAGGGUUUUCGCAGGCAAGGCUAGCUAAUUUCUGGAUUCGCUGCCAGAGGCAAUCUGGCCUGCUAAAAUCCCAUUCAAGACACUGAAAGACACAUGUAUGUGUAGUAAGUUUCUAGCUCCAAACUCGAUACUGGGGAAGAACAGUAAGAAGCGAUAGACGCUCGAAGCAGUA